AGAAUCAACGCUGGCGGCGUGCCUAACACAUGCAAGUCGAACGAGAAAGUGGAGCAAUCCAUGAGUAAAGUGGCGACCGGGUGAGUAACACGUGACUAACCUACCUUCGAGUGGGGGAUAACCUCGGGAAACCGGGGCUAAUACCGCAUAAUAUCCACGGAUCAAAGGAGCAAUUCGCUUGAAGAGGGGGUCGCGGCUGAUUAGUUAGUUGGCGGGGUAAUGGCCCACCAAGACAAUGAUCGGUAGCCGGCCUGAGAGGGCGCACGGCCACACUGGAACUGAAACACGGUCCAGACUCCUACGGGAGGCAGCAGUGGGGAAUUUUGCGCAAUGGGGGAAACCCUGACGCAGCAACGCCGCGUGGAGGAUGAAGUCCCUUGGGACGUAAACUCCUUUCGACUGGGAAGAUAAUGACGGUACCAGUGGAAGAAGCCCCGGCUAACUUCGUGCCAGCAGCCGC
Molecule: ribosomal RNA, 460 nt
Filed under: uncultured bacterium
Lineage: Bacteria
Description: SSU rRNA
Rfam family: Bacterial small subunit ribosomal RNA
Source: RNAcentral